GCGGAUAUAGAUUAAUGGUAGAUUCCCUGCCUUCCAAGCAGGUUGUGUGGGUUCGAAUCCCGCUAUCCGCA
This 71-nucleotide transfer RNA is filed under the name Monomastix sp. OKE-1. Its description in RNAcentral is "tRNA-Gly". It matches the Rfam family "tRNA". Rfam says of the family: Transfer RNA (tRNA) molecules are approximately 80 nucleotides in length. Their secondary structure includes four short double-helical elements and three loops (D, anti-codon, and T loops). The record is from RNAcentral. Lineage: Eukaryota; Viridiplantae; Chlorophyta; Mamiellophyceae; Monomastigales; Monomastigaceae.